GUGGGGAAUCUUAGACAAUGGGCGCAAGCCUGAUCUAGCCAUGCCGCGUGAGCGAUGAAGGCCUUAGGGUUGUAAAGCUCUUUCGUGGGGGAAGAUAAUGACUGUACCCCAAGAAGAAGCCCCGGCUAACUCCGUGCCAGCAGCCGCGGUAAUACGGAGGGGGCUAGCGUUGUUCGGAAUUACUGGGCGUAAAGCGCACGUAGGCGGACUGGAAAGUCAGGGGUGAAAUCCCGGGGCUCAACCCCGGAACUGCCUUUGAAACUCCCAGUCUUGAGUUCGAGAGAGGUGAGUGGAAUUCCGAGUGUAGAGGUGAAAUUCGUAGAUAUACGGAGGAACACCAGUGGCGAAGGCGGCCUGCUGGACAUUAACUGACGCUGAGGCGCGAAAGCGUGGGGAGCAAACAGGAUUAGAAACCCCAGUAGUCC
This 425-nucleotide ribosomal RNA is filed under the name uncultured bacterium. RNAcentral describes it as "partial 16S ribosomal RNA". It matches the Rfam family "Bacterial small subunit ribosomal RNA", at positions 354 to 796 of the family's 1533-position model. The record is from RNAcentral.